Molecule: transfer RNA, 77 nt
Filed under: Ectothiorhodospiraceae bacterium WFHF3C12
Lineage: Bacteria; Pseudomonadati; Pseudomonadota; Gammaproteobacteria; Chromatiales; Ectothiorhodospiraceae
Description: tRNA-Pro
Rfam family: tRNA
About the family: Transfer RNA (tRNA) molecules are approximately 80 nucleotides in length.
Source: RNAcentral
CGGGGUGUAGCGCAGCCUGGUAGCGCACCUGCUUUGGGAGCAGGGAGUCGGGGGUUCGAAUCCCUCCACCCCGACCA